GCCCGACUGAAGGGAACUGGCAUACCUAGCUCACUUAAAAUGAGUUGCUUGCAGGUUCGAGUCCUGCGUCGGGCA
This 75-nucleotide transfer RNA is filed under the name Candidatus Uhrbacteria bacterium. Its description in RNAcentral is "tRNA-Leu". It matches the Rfam family "tRNA". Rfam says of the family: Transfer RNA (tRNA) molecules are approximately 80 nucleotides in length. Their secondary structure includes four short double-helical elements and three loops (D, anti-codon, and T loops). Lineage: Bacteria; Candidatus Uhriibacteriota. The record is from RNAcentral.